Crotalus tigris (Tiger rattlesnake) is the source of this 2559-nucleotide long non-coding RNA. RefSeq lists it as uncharacterized. The transcript has 2 exons. The record is from RefSeq and is a predicted model, not a curated record. NCBI's taxonomy places the organism in Eukaryota, Metazoa, Chordata, Lepidosauria, Squamata, Viperidae.
UCCCUUCCCUCCCUCCCUCCAUGUGUGUGUGUCUCUCUCUCUCUCUCUCUCUUUCAUCAUGCCUUCAUGAGCCCAGCCUUUUCUGUCUAGCCUGCUUGGUCCUCAACUUUUUUCAAUUUCCCUCCAAAUUCUCUAUCAUCUCCGGAGUCCCUUUUCUUGCAGAUUUUAAACCUCUUCAGCUUUCUGCCUGGAAAGACAGCAGCAGGAUCCGUCCCGUCCCAUGACUUGUUGGCCAACCGGAUAAAACAGCUUAACCCAAUAAAACAACUUAACUCUCAUCAAUAUAAUUAGUUAGAGGUAUGAGCAUAAGAAAACAAUAUGGAUGCUUCUUUACAAUCUUCAUGACUCAAAGGAGACCGUAUGUUUACUCAGAAAGGGAAGUGGUGCUAAUCUACUUUUAUAGCUUAACAAAUGAGGUGUGGCCACAAUAGUCCUCCUUAAUGAAAUAGCCUUGUGAGUUACAAGUCUCCACUUUUUGUAAGAGCUGGUGUGUUCUCUGAGGUAAUGAAUGAAAGACCUUGAAAGUCUUUCAUUAUAUGAAAAGGCCAAAAAAAAAAAAAAAAAAGGCCCAACUCUUAGCAUUAACAAAACAUCUCACCUGGGUUGGAAAGUCUUCUAAAGUAUUUUAUUUUAUUUAUUAUAUUUCUACACCAACUAUUUCACUUAAGGGACUCUAGGCGGUUUACAACACCUUUACAAAAUCAUAUAAAUGCAUAAAGCAUAGCUUAAAAACAAGUUCAAACUUACGAGUUGAAGAUAAAUUGGGCUAAAAAUUCAAAGGCUAGGGAGGUUAAGAAGAAAUAGGGGUGUCCUCAGGCCCACCAGAUACCCCGUGGCUGCAUCAGACUUUUAGAUCCCCAGGCUAAUUGGCAAAACCAGGACUUGCCACUCUUCCACAAAACCAGAAGAUGGGCUUGCUUCAUCUCUGGAGGUAAGAUGUCCCAUAGGGCUGGGGCAGAGCUGAGCAGGCCCUCUUAGAUCCUGGCAGUUGAAACUCCUUGACCAAGAAGAUAUGCAGCAUGCCCUCCCUUGCUUUGGAGAAUGGGUCAACCUGAGGGGUGACAAUCUUCGGGCAAGACAAGGCAUAAUGGACAGAAGCUUAACAAGAGAGAUCUCACCUAAAAUUAGGAGAAAUUUCCUAACAGUGAGGACAGUCGUUCAGUGGAACAACUCGCCUCCAGAAGUUGUGGGUGCUCCAUCACUGGAGGUUUUCAAGAAACGACUGGAGAGCCAUUUGUUCGAAAUGACAUAAGACCUCUGCUUGGGCAUAAGGUUAGACUAGAAGACCUCCAAGGUCCCUUCCAAAUCUGUAAUUGGAAACGUCGGCAAGUCAACAACCAAACUCGGCUUGACCAGGUAGGAUAGGUCAAUGUAAUUCGGAUGAGAUGGUUUCUUGGGCAUCCCGGUUCCAAUGCCAAUAAACGGCUUUAAAAGGGAUAACGAACACCUUGAAUGGGACCCAGAAGUAGGGGUUGAUCCGAUCAACCUCCCUCACCUUCUCAACACAAAUAAAGAGAGUAAGCACUUGUAAUCCGUAUCUGCACAUAGAAAUCUCCAGAACUGGCACACUAUCUACGGCAAGUAUCUCUUAGGCCUGGGGCCAAAAAACAAGGACUUUGAUAGCGUGGGAAGAGCACUUACAAUGACAAGUGUUUCGAGCACCUCCCUAGGCCAGGAACCGGUGGUGCUACUGAGACAAGGCAGGUGCUUGUUCUACAAAGGGACGUUUGGGAGAAUAGGCCAUCAAAGGACUUAGAGCAAUGUUCUUCAACCUGGGCAACUUUUAAGGUGGGUGGACUUCAACUCCCAGAAUUCCCCAGCCAGUGCAAGCUGAUGACAUACUUAACUCUGCCCCCAAACUCUGCCUGCUUUUCCACAGAGAGCCAAUAGAUGGCCUAAGAAGGCUACAGAAAGAAUCAAUGCCGCCAUCUAGUGGCAACCCAGAUACUUUUUAGUAGCCCUCUGUUAAAGGCAAUUCCAUCCAACUAAAGAGACUAUAUAGCUUGGGGUUGAAUUAUGAGGUCCUUUCUGCUCUCUGAGCGCAGUUGUUUUCUUGAAGAUGUUUCAUUACCCAACUAGGUAACAUCAUCAGUGUUAGAAGAUUAAGUGGGGUUUGCAGAGUGGAGGAGGAGGAGGAGGAUUGUGGCUUCCUUAGUGCUCCUUGAUUGUAUUUUUUUGGGAGAGGUUUAAUUCCCAACUAGGUAACAUCGUCAAUAUCUAACAAUCCCCAUCACUGCAAAGCACCAACAACACCAUCCCAGCACUGAUGAGGUUCCCUAGUCAGGUAAUCAAACGUUUGCAAGUCAACAGCGAAAGACAGAGAGAAAGCAAGGACUGUAUAAACAGGUUCCCUGUUGCCCUUGAGAUGUGGGAGAUUUGAUCCAUUAGUGCUACUCAUAACAAAGAGUAUGUAUGAAAAAAAAUAAGCUCUUGGGCAGGACUCUUAAGAUAAUGGUUAAGUUCAUUUGCUUUGGCUCUAAGCCAUAGCGAGAUAACGAGGCACAUAUUCAUGGGCAGAAACAGCACACAAUUUCAGGAAGCUGGAAUCUACUCUGCCCU